AGCCUUUAGCAAAAAGUAUUAAAGGUCACGCCUGCCCAGUGAUAAUUUUAAACGGCCGCGGGAUCCUCCACCGUGCAAAGGUAGCAUAAUCACUUGUCCCCUAAAUAGUGACUAGUAUGAAUGGCCAAAUGAAGAUUUAACUGUCUCUUGUAUUUGAUCCUUGAAAUUAAUCUACCAGUACAAAAGCUGGAAUAAAAACAUAAGACGAAAAGACCCUAUGGAACUUUAAGUAUAUUUUAAUUAAUAUAAAAUUAAAAACUUUUAGUUGGGGCAACUCUGGAAAUAAAAAAAACUUCCAAAAAACCUAUGAUCAACAUAUCUUUUGAAACAUGACCCAGUCUUACUGAAUAAAGAACCAAGCUACCCUAGGGAUAACAGCGCCAUCCCCUCCAAGAGCCCAAAUCGACGAGUGGGGUUUACGACCUCGAUGUUGGAUCAGGACACCCAAACAGUGCAACAGCUGUUAAAGGUUUGUUUGUUCAACAAUUAAAGUCCU
RNAcentral lists this ribosomal RNA (496 nucleotides) under Echinosaura panamensis. Its description in RNAcentral is "partial 16S ribosomal RNA". It matches the Rfam family "Bacterial large subunit ribosomal RNA", at positions 1817 to 2597 of the family's 2925-position model. The record is from RNAcentral. Lineage: Eukaryota; Metazoa; Chordata; Lepidosauria; Squamata; Gymnophthalmidae.